GCCUGAUGGAGGGGGAUAACUACUGGAAACGGUAGCUAAUACCGCAUAACGUCGCAAGACCAAAGAGGGGGACCUUCGGGCCUCUUGCCAUCGGAUGUGCCCAGAUGGGAUUAGCUAGUAGGUGGGGUAACGGCUCACCUAGGCGACGAUCCCUAGCUGGUCUGAGAGGAUGACCAGCCACACUGGAACUGAGACACGGUCCAGACUCCUACGGGAGGCAGCAGUGGGGAAUAUUGCACAAUGGGCGCAAGCCUGAUGCAGCCAUGCCGCGUGUAUGAAGAAGGCCUUCGGGUUGUAAAGUACUUUCAGCGGGGAGGAAGGUGAUGAGGUUAAUAACCUCGUCAAUUGACGUUACCCGCAGAAGAAGCACCGGCUAACUCCGUGCCAGCAGCCGCGGUAAUACGGAGGGUGCAAGCGUUAAUCGGAAUUACUGGGCGUAAAGCGCACGCAGGCGGUCUGUCAAGUCGGAUGUGAAAUCCCCGGGCUCAACCUGGGAACUGCAUUCGAAACUGGCAGGCUAGAGUCUUGUAGAGGGGGGUAGAAUUCCAGGUGUAGCGGUGAAAUGCGUAGAGAUCUGGAGGAAUACCGGUGGCGAAGGCGGCCCCCUGGACAAAGACUGACGCUCAGGUGCGAAAGCGUGGGGAGCAAAC
Molecule: ribosomal RNA, 650 nt
Filed under: Enterobacter sp.
Lineage: Bacteria; Pseudomonadati; Pseudomonadota; Gammaproteobacteria; Enterobacterales; Enterobacteriaceae
Description: bacterial SSU rRNA
Rfam family: Bacterial small subunit ribosomal RNA
Source: RNAcentral